GACUCUCGGCAACGGAUAUCUCGGCUCUCGCAUCGAUAAAGAACGUAGCGAAAUGCAAUACUUGGUGUGAAUUGCAGAAUCCCGUGAAUCAUCGAGUCUUUGAACGCAAGUUGCGCCGGAAGACAUUUGGCCGAGGGCACGUUUGCCUGGGCGUCA
This 156-nucleotide ribosomal RNA is filed under the name Solanum lycopersicum (tomato). Its description in RNAcentral is "5.8S ribosomal RNA". It matches the Rfam family "5.8S ribosomal RNA". From Rfam's summary of the family: 5.8S ribosomal RNA (5.8S rRNA) is a component of the large subunit of the eukaryotic ribosome. Lineage: Eukaryota; Viridiplantae; Streptophyta; Magnoliopsida; Solanales; Solanaceae. The record is from Rfam by way of RNAcentral.